GAUGAACGCUGGCGGCGUGCCUAAUACAUGCAAGUCGAGCGAACGGACGAGAAGCUUGCUUCUCUGAUGUUAGCGGCGGACGGGUGAGUAACACGUGGAUAACCUACCUAUAAGACUGGGAUAACUUCGGGAAACCGGAGCUAAUACCGGAUAAUAUUUUGAACCGCAUGGUUCAAAAGUGAAAGACGGUCUUGCUGUCACUUAUAGAUGGAUCCGCGCUGCAUUAGCUAGUUGGUAAGGUAACGGCUUACCAAGGCAACGAUGCAUAGCCGACCUGAGAGGGUGAUCGGCCACACUGGAACUGAGACACGGUCCAGACUCCUACGGGAGGCAGCAGUAGGGAAUCUUCCGCAAUGGGCGAAAGCCUGACGGAGCAACGCCGCGUGAGUGAUGAAGGUCUUCGGAUCGUAAAACUCUGUUAUUAGGGAAGAACAUAUGUGUAAGUAACUAUGCACAUCUUGACGGUACCUAAUCAGAAAGCCACGGCUAACUACGUGCCAGCAGCCGCGGUAAUACGUAGGUGGCAAGCGUUAUCCGGAAUUAUUGGGCGUAAAGCGCGCGUAGGCGGUUUUUUAAGUCUGAUGUGAAAGCCCACGGCUCAACCGUGGAGGGUCAUUGGAAACUGGAAAACUUGAGUGCAGAAGAGGAAAGUGGAAUUCCAUGUGUAGCGGUGAAAUGCGCAGAGAUAUGGAGGAACACCAGUGGCGAAGGCGACUUUCUGGUCUGUAACUGACGCUGAUGUGCGAAAGCGUGGGGAUCAAACAGGAUUAGAUACCCUGGUAGUCCACGCCGUAAACGAUGAGUGCUAAGUGUUAGGGGGUUUCCGCCCCUUAGUGCUGCAGCUAACGCAUUAAGCACUCCGCCUGGGGAGUACGACCGCAAGGUUGAAACUCAAAGGAAUUGACGGGGACCCGCACAAGCGGUGGAGCAUGUGGUUUAAUUCGAAGCAACGCGAAGAACCUUACCAAAUCUUGACAUCCUUUGACAACUCUAGAGAUAGAGCUUUCCCCUUCGGGGGACAAAGUGACAGGUGGUGCAUGGUUGUCGUCAGCUCGUGUCGUGAGAUGUUGGGUUAAGUCCCGCAACGAGCGCAACCCUUAAGCUUAGUUGCCAUCAUUAAGUUGGGCACUCUAAGUUGACUGCCGGUGACAAACCGGAGGAAGGUGGGGAUGACGUCAAAUCAUCAUGCCCCUUAUGAUUUGGGCUACACACGUGCUACAAUGGACAAUACAAAGGGCAGCGAAACCGCGAGGUCAAGCAAAUCCCAUAAAGUUGUUCUCAGUUCGGAUUGUAGUCUGCAACUCGACUACAUGAAGCUGGAAUCGCUAGUAAUCGUAGAUCAGCAUGCUACGGUGAAUACGUUCCCGGGUCU
RNAcentral lists this ribosomal RNA (1372 nucleotides) under uncultured bacterium. RNAcentral's name for it is "bacterial SSU rRNA". It matches the Rfam family "Bacterial small subunit ribosomal RNA", at positions 28 to 1381 of the family's 1533-position model. The record is from RNAcentral.